AUCCCAUGAUGAGCGCACUUACGAAGUAAUUCUUUGAACCUCUCCCAUGCCUCGUAUAAAGAUUCGUCAUCCAAUUGUUGAAAGGUGGUUAUCUCAUUUUGGAACUU
Molecule: small nucleolar RNA, 107 nt
Filed under: Gossypium hirsutum (cotton)
Lineage: Eukaryota; Viridiplantae; Streptophyta; Magnoliopsida; Malvales; Malvaceae
Description: Plant small nucleolar RNA R71
Rfam family: Plant small nucleolar RNA R71
About the family: R71 is a member of the C/D box family of snoRNAs containing the C (UGAUGA) and D (CUGA) box motifs. Multiple nearly identical copies of this snoRNA have been identified in Arabidopsis, and it is thought to function as a 2'-O-ribose methylation guide for 18S ribosomal RNA.
Source: Rfam by way of RNAcentral